This 465-nucleotide ribosomal RNA is filed under the name uncultured bacterium. RNAcentral's name for it is "partial 16S ribosomal RNA". It matches the Rfam family "Bacterial small subunit ribosomal RNA", at positions 338 to 795 of the family's 1533-position model. The record is from RNAcentral.
CCUACGGGGGGCAGCAGUAGGGAAUCUUCCACAAUGGACGAAAGUCUGAUGGAGCAACACCGCGUGAGUGAAGAAGGGUUUCGGCUCGUAAAGCUCUGUUGGUAGUGAAGAAAGAUAGAGGUAGUAACUGGCCUGUAUUUGACGGUAAUUACUUAGAAAGUCACGGCUAACUACGUGCCAGCAGCCGCGGUAAUACGUAGGUGGCAAGCGUUGGCCGGAUUUAUUGGGCGUAAAGCGAGUGCAGGCGGUUCAAUAAGUCUGAUGUGAAAGCCUUCGGCUCAACCGGAGAAUUGCAUCAGAAACUGUUGAACGUGAGUGCAGAAGAGGAGAGUGGAACUUCAUGUGUAGCGGUGGAAUGCGUAGAUAUAUGGAAGAACACCAGUGGCGAAGGCGGCUCUCUGGUCUGCAACUGACGCUGAGGCUCGAAAGCAUGGGUAGCGAACAGGAUUAGAUACCCUUGUAGUC